CCUACGGGUGACAGCAGUGAGGAAUAUUGGUCAAUGGGCGAGAGCCUGAACCAGCCAAGUCGCGUGAAGGAUGACUGAUCUAUGGGUUGUAAACUUCUUUUAUAUGGGAAUAAAAUGUUGGACGCGUGGGGUUUUGCAUGUACCAUAUGAAUAAGGAUCGGCUAACUCCGUGCCAGCAGCCGCGGUAAUACGGAGGAUCCGAGCGUUAUCCGGAUUUAUUGGGUUUAAAGGGAGCGUAGGCGGCUUUUUAAGUCAGUGGGGAAAGUUUGCGGCUCAACCGUGAAAUUGCAGUUGAAAUGGGCAGUCUUGAGUAUAUUAGAGGCGGGCGGAAUUCGUGGUGUAGCGGUGAAAUGCUUAGAUAUCACGCAGAACCCCGAUUGCGAAGGCAGCCCACUAGGCUACGACUGACACUGAGGCACGAAAGUGUGGGGAUCAAACAGGAUUAGAUACCCGUGUAGUC
This 460-nucleotide ribosomal RNA is filed under the name uncultured bacterium. Its description in RNAcentral is "partial 16S ribosomal RNA". It matches the Rfam family "Bacterial small subunit ribosomal RNA", at positions 338 to 795 of the family's 1533-position model. The record is from RNAcentral.